CCUACGGGUGGCAGCAGUGGGGAAUAUUGGGCAAUGGGCGCAAGCCUGACCCAGCAACGCCGCGUGAAGGAAGAAGGCUUUCGGGUUGUAAACUUCUUUUCUCAGGGACGAAGCAAGUGACGGUACCUGAGGACUAAGCCACGGCUAACUACGUGCCCGCAGCCGCGGUAAUACGUAGGGGGCAAGCGUUAUCCGGAUUUACGGGGGGUAAAGGGGGUGUAGGCGGGAAAGCAAGUCAGAUGUUAAAACCAUGGGCUCAACCUGUGGCCUGCAUUUGAAACUGUUUUUCUUGAGUACUGGAGAGGCAGACGGAAUUCCUAGUGUAGCGGUGAAAUGCGUAGAUAUUAGGAGGAACACCAGUGGCGAAGGCGGUCUGCUGGACAGCAACUGACGCUGAGGCGCGAAAGCGUGGGGAGCAAACAGGAUUAGAUACCCGGGUAGUC
RNAcentral lists this ribosomal RNA (443 nucleotides) under uncultured bacterium. RNAcentral's name for it is "partial 16S ribosomal RNA". It matches the Rfam family "Bacterial small subunit ribosomal RNA", at positions 338 to 795 of the family's 1533-position model. The record is from RNAcentral.